AUUGAACGCUGGCGGCAGGCUUAACACAUGCAAGUCGAGCGGGGGAAGGUAGCUUGCUACCGGACCUAGCGGCGGACGGGUGAGUAAUGCUCAGGAAUCUGCCUAUUAGUGGGGGACAACAUCUCGAAAGGGAUGCUAAUACCGCAUACGUCCUACGGGAGAAAGCAGGGGAUCUUCGGACCUUGCGCUAAUAGAUGAGCCUAAGUCGGAUUAGCUAGUUGGUGGGGUAAAGGCCUACCAAGGCGACGAUCUGUAGCGGGUCUGAGAGGAUGAUCCGCCACACUGGGACUGAGACACGGCCCAGACUCCUACGGGAGGCAGCAGUGGGGAAUAUUGGACAAUGGGGGGAACCCUGGUCCAGCCAUGCCGCGUGUGUGAAGAAGGCCUUAUGGUUGUAAAGCACUUUAAGCGAGGAGGAGGCUACUCUAGUUAAUACCUAGGGAUAGUGGACGUUACUCGCAGAAUAAGCACCGGCUAACUCUGUGCCAGCAGCCGCCGUAA
This 501-nucleotide ribosomal RNA is filed under the name uncultured bacterium. RNAcentral describes it as "partial 16S ribosomal RNA". It matches the Rfam family "Bacterial small subunit ribosomal RNA", at positions 30 to 523 of the family's 1533-position model. The record is from RNAcentral.